Molecule: ribosomal RNA, 446 nt
Filed under: uncultured bacterium
Lineage: Bacteria
Description: partial 16S ribosomal RNA
Rfam family: Bacterial small subunit ribosomal RNA
Source: RNAcentral
CCUACGGGAGGCAGCAGUAGGGAAUUUUCGGCAAUGGGGGGAACCCUGACCGAGCAACGCCGCGUGAACGAAGAAGUUAUUCGUAAUGUAAAGUUCUUUUAACAGGGAAGAAAGCGAAAUUUGACGGUACCUGAAGAAUAAGCUCCGGCUAACUACGUGCCAGCAGCCACGGUAAUAGGUAGGGAGCGAGCGUUAUCCGGAAUUAUGGGGGGUAAAGGGGGCGUAGAGGGCGUAGUAAGUCUUUUGUAAAAAUGCUGGGCUCAACCCAGUAGGGCAAAAGAUACUGCAAAGCUAGAGUAUGACAGGGGAAAGUGGAAAUACAGGUGUAGCGGUAAAAUGCGUAAAUAUAAGUAAGAACACCAGUGGCGAAGGCGGCUUGCUGGGUCGAUACUGACAUUGAGGCACGAAAGCGUGGGGAGCAAACAGGAUUAGAUACCCGAGUAGUC